UGAACUUUUACAGUAUGUUCAUUAUUCUUCUCCCUGUGAUACUUGACUCAUCUGAAAACAAUUUCUGUCUCCAGUCUGUCAUCUAGGCAGAGAAAAACUUGGCCACCAAGUGAUGACAACAUGCAGCAGGUUUGAAAGUCCUGAAACUUAUGUUUGUUCACCAAUGAAUCUGAAAAAAAAGCAUGUCUGUUGUCAUUUUUAACAAACACAUUCAUCUGUGAACAACGUCUGUCACAGCUGAAAAACUCUGCACCAGUUUUUAUGAAUAUCGUGACAAUGGAAACUCCUUUUUGAAAGUAAAUCAACUUUUAAAGCAGAAGCCAACUUCAUGUCAGCUUGUUUUUAGUGUCCGUGCAAAGGAGUUGGAUGGAAACUUGGAUGAAGCUCCUUUACCAAGACCAAAUUCAACAUCCAAGACAUCCAAUACAGCUAUGAAAAAAGCCACUUACAAGUUCUGAUACAUCCAAGCAGGAAAUGGUGCAUCUGCCAGCCAAGCAGCAUGGAAAAAGUUCAAUAUUCAUCAUUAUUAUUUGACCUUUGCUGUGACAAUCUCUCUUGUUGUUUGCUUAGCCCUGUUGUGUUUACUUGGAUCAGCUGCUUGUUCUGUUUGACGGUUCAGUUAUCGGUUAAUCUAUCAUACAAUUACGAGUCCGUGGUUAAGUGCUCUUGGGAUUGUGAGUUGCAUCCUCGCCUUUAAGCCUAAAGGAGAAAAAAAAUUUGGGAGCAACACAAAGAAUUUAGAACCAACAGUCCGUCAUGAAACGAGUCAGAUGGCUUCUAUCAGCGCCACAGAGAGCUUAUUAACUUUGGAAAUACUGUAUUUCAAAUAUCUCCCAGCUUAGACCUGGCCCAAACAAUGCCAGCAUUGCACAUUUUAUCAUAUUUUUAUCUGUAACAGAAAGCAAGACUCUCACAACAAUAUGUCAACUCGACUCAAAUUCAUGUCUUGGAUUUGAAAAAUAUUUACAGCCAGUCUCCCUGUGAAGCUGGCACAGCCAUGUUUUCAACUAAGAGCCAAAGUUGACAUUAAACUUGCUCACAGUGACGGUGGAUAAGUUAAUGCUAAGAGGGUGACACUGAUGUUUGUGUUUACUGUGAUAGCAUCCCUGCAGUCAUGGUGAGCAUGACAGAGUCAACAUAAACACAAUGGAAAGGAGUUCUGCACUGGCAUUAGCAGAGGCUCAGACCUAGCAGGGCUUGACUCUAACUUUCUUCACAAGGAGCGCAUGUGCUCUUAAGUUGAAAAAGUAAGGAGCACACAAAGAACUUUAGCAGCACAUGAAAAUUGAUCAAAUACUGUUUGUCUUAUUGGUCGACAGAAGUUCUAUUAUUCGAAAACAAUUAUAAGUCUUUUGGCCACAUGUCAUGGAAGCUACUAAAGAAAAUGUUUAAAAUUUGCCUUUAAAUUUAACACAAAAAAUGUAUGAGGACAAAUUAGGGAAAUAAAGAGGUGUGUCUUAUUGGUCAACAUAAGUAUUAUUAUUUAAAAUCAAUUUUAGGUCAAUUUGUCACAUGACAUGGAAGCUAUUGAAGGAAAACAACCUUUUCAGUGAACAUCAACCAGUAAUUUAUUGAUGGUCCCUUAUUCAACACCCGACGUUGACAGCGAGACUGCCAAGUAGAUUCAACCAUGUUGCUGUUGCUAUUCCCAGUUGUUGAAAGUGCACACUGGUAGAUCCUCAGUGAAUGUCCGUCACAUAUCCAACCUAAAACUAACUUCACUGCGGUAUUCACAUGAAAAAACAAUUGUUGCCUUGGCUGAUUUUUUUUAUGCGCACAUGGGCCCCUAAAUACAUUUUUUCAAUUCGCACACAUCUAUUUUUAGUUGCAAAUGCAAGUGAAACGGUCGCACUGUUGAGCCCUGCCUAAGAACUGUGACCUUGAAUAUAUGAGCCUGAGGAGCUUCUGCCCUGCUUGAUAUCAGCCCGUUGUGUUGAGGCAACAGUAACAAUGACAAUCAUGGUAGUGUUUAAGAAUUAAACAAUUUUUUACUGAGACCACUGCCAGUGCACCGUGUUGAAAAUGCUGAACUGCGUUGGCCUUAAUCAGAAAGUCACAGCUAGCUGAGCGCUGUUAGUGGACACAGGCCCUAAGGCUAAAACUAUCUCAAUAAUUGUGUUUUUCACAGAGGUGGGUAAAAAAUUUUUUUUUUUCUUUUUUCUUUUUCUCCCCAGAUGCCAUAAAACUUGCAGACAUCACUGACAUAAUGAUUUGCAGAGGUCAACAUGGAGCUUCUGUGUCUGAGACAAAUUUUCACAGUGUGUUUGGAAAUCAACAAAACACUUUCUUCGAUCAAAUCCAGACUGUGUUGGGAGACUUUCACCACGGUCCUUUGGAAAACAUGCACAGUGACCAACCAUCUGAUGGUUGUCAAAUUCAAAAUGAUUCAAGAUGACAUGUUUAUUUGGAACCACAGUGGGAAUCUUUAAUCGG
This 2433-nucleotide long non-coding RNA is filed under the name Xyrichtys novacula (pearly razorfish). The record is from RNAcentral. Lineage: Eukaryota; Metazoa; Chordata; Actinopteri; Labriformes; Labridae.